ACGGGAUCUGAGGGUAUCCAGAUGCAUGUCCGGCACAGGAGGUGGUAUGCUAUUCUGCCCACAAUGAGUUGUGGGUUUCUCUCUGUACUCAAAGUAGCUGCCUGGUCAUCGACGCAUACCCUUUCAGCUGGUGCCUUUUGUUUCCUGCAGCCAACAGCGGUGGGUUAGGUGGGUAGUCAAACUGACUUGAUCUAGUGGGCCCACGGAGAAGAGAAAGAGAUUUGGGAUGUUUACCACUUCUAUCCUACUAUUAACUUGCAUAAAGGCAAGGUAAAGGAGGGGUUAAUAUUAAGGAGGAAGCACCAGCUGCUAGACAGCUCUUUGAAAUCUAAAACACCUCAUCAGGGAACUAGUCAUCUCAGGGGAAGACAAUUCAAUUCCCAUUCUCCUGAUCUCUAAUUGAAGUUCCUGGAGGAGCAGAACAUCACCUUAAAAUACAGAAAUGCAGAGGCUAGGAGACCACAACAUCCAUUAGAGAAAUGUUUAUUUAUCCUCGAGAAUAGUUAGCUCAGAUCGAAUGACUGGAAGCACCACAAGCCCCAUAUGGAGAAACUGAAGACUCAACAUAAUAUAAAUUGUGGUACAGAGACAGUGUCAACGAGUCCUGUGAAAACUGCCUCCCUCAUUCUUCUGCAGAAGCAGCAGAUUUCCCAGAAAGAUUGCCCAAACUUGGUAGUCCCAGGUCUUUUCACUGUAACUGGUCCUUCAACAGAUUCCUGCUUGAGUUAAGAAAAACAAGAGAAAUAGGAUCCCAUUUGGUUAUAAUCCUUUUUCUGAAAGGAUCCUAAGUAUCCUGUACAUGUCAUUCUAUAAACAAGACUCUGUUAUGUGGGCAUCGCCAUCAUCACCACCAUCAUCAUCAUGAUCAUCAUCAUGAUUGCUGUCGUCGUAGCUUAAGGUCCUGAGUGUUCACUAUGUUACAAUAUUCCAGAUGGCAAAAUGAAGAUAUAGUGAUUUGAAGUAAUUAAGUUCUCAGAAAUAGUUAAAGAGCAAAGUAGGAAUCCAAAUCCAAAUGCCCAGGUUCUUAACCACUAUACAACAUUGCCUUUCCAAGUAUAAAGAACAUAUUAAUUAUAAUCUGAAGUUCAAGGACUACAGGAAUAAAAUGUGGAAACAAAGGCUUUCAGUUUCAGGAGUGCUGGGUGGCUUAGUUGGUUAAAUGUCUGCCUUCAGCUGAGGCCAUGAUCCCAAGAGUCCUGCAAUGAGUCCUGCAUCAGGCUCCCUGCUCAGUAGGGAGCCUGCUUCUGCCCCUCCCCCUAGCUCGUGUGUACUCUCUC
This is a long non-coding RNA of Ailuropoda melanoleuca (giant panda), 1277 nucleotides long. RefSeq lists it as uncharacterized. The transcript has 7 exons. The record is from RefSeq and is a predicted model, not a curated record. Lineage: Eukaryota; Metazoa; Chordata; Mammalia; Carnivora; Ursidae.